This 468-nucleotide ribosomal RNA is filed under the name uncultured bacterium. RNAcentral describes it as "partial 16S ribosomal RNA". It matches the Rfam family "Bacterial small subunit ribosomal RNA", at positions 28 to 507 of the family's 1533-position model. The record is from RNAcentral.
GACGUACGCUGGCGGCGUGCUUAACACAUGCAAGUCGAACGGAAGGGCCCUGCUUUUGUGGGGUGCUCGAGUGGCGAACGGGUGAGUAACACGUGAGUAACCUGCCCUUGACUUUGGGAUAACUUCAGGAAACUGGGGCUAAUACCGGAUAGGAGCUCCUGCUGCAUGGUGGGGGUUGGAAAGUUUCGGCGGUUGGGGAUGGACUCGCGGCUUAUCAGCUUGUUGGUGGGGUAGUGGCUUACCAAGGCUUUGACGGGUAGCCGGCCUGAGAGGGUGACCGGCCACAUUGGGACUGAGGUACGGCCCAGACUCCUACGGGAGGCAGCAGGGGGGAAUAUUGCACAAUGGGCGGAAGCCUGAUGCAGCAACGCCGCGUGCGGGAUGACGGCCUUCGGGUUGUAAACCGCUUUCGCCUGUGACGAAGCGUGAGUGACGGUAAUGGGUAAAGAAGCACCGGCUAACUACGUG